This 726-nucleotide ribosomal RNA is filed under the name uncultured bacterium. RNAcentral describes it as "bacterial SSU rRNA". It matches the Rfam family "Bacterial small subunit ribosomal RNA", at positions 8 to 727 of the family's 1533-position model. The record is from RNAcentral.
AGAGUUUGAUCAUGGCUCAGAUUGAACGCUGGCGGAAUGCUUUACACAUGCAAGUCGAACGGCAGCACGGGAGCUUGCUCCUGGUGGCGAGUGGCGAACGGGUGAGUAAUAUAUCGGAACGUAUCCAAUAAUGGGGGAUAACUAGUCGAAAGAUUAGCUAAUACCGCAUACGCCCUGAGGGGGAAAGCUGGGGAUCUUCGGACCUAGCGUUAAUGGAGCGGCCGAUAUCUGAUUAGCUAGUAGGUGAGGUAAAGGCUCACCUAGGCGACGAUCAGUAGCUGGUCUGAGAGGACGACCAGCCACACUGGAACUGAGACACGGUCCAGACUCCUACGGGAGGCAGCAGUGGGGAAUUUUGGACAAUGGGGGCAACCCUGAUCCAGCCAUUCCGCGUGAGUGAAGAAGGCCUUCGGGUUGUAAAGCUCUUUCGCAAGGGAAGAAAACUUAGUCUCUAACAUAGACUGAGGUUGACGGUACCUUGAUAAGAAGCACCGGCUAACUACGUGCCAGCAGCCGCGGUAAUACGUAGGGUGCGAGCGUUAAUCGGAAUUACUGGGCGUAAAGCGUGCGCAGGCGGCCUGAUAAGUCAGAUGUGAAAUCCCCGAGCUCAACUUGGGAACUGCGUUUGAAACUAUCAAGCUAGAAUAUGUCAGAGGGGGGUAGAAUUCCACGUGUAGCAGUGAAAUGCGUAGAGAUGUGGAGGAAUACCAAUGGCGAAGGCAGCCC